UAUACGACCGUACCGCAAACCGACACUGGUGCGCGAGAUGAGUAUUCUAAGGCGCUUGAGAGAACUCAGGAGAAGGAACUCGGCAAAUUGACACCGUAACUUCGGAAGAAGGUGUGCCCUAUUAGUGUGUAGUGAACAACGAAGCAUGAAUGGGUUGCAAAAAAUCGGUGGCUGCGACUGUUUAUUAAAAACACAGCACUCUGCAAACACGAAAGUGGACGUAUAGGGUGUGACGCCUGCCCGGUGCUGGAAGAUUAAAUGAUGGGGUGCAAGCUCUUGAUUGAAGUCCCAGUAAACGGCGGCCGUAACAAUAACGGUCCUAAGGUAGCGAAAUUCCUUGUCGGGUAAGUUCCGACCUGCACGAAUGGCGUAACGAUGGCCACACUGUCUCCUCCUGAGACUCAGCGAAGUUGAAAUGUUUGUGAUGAUGCAAUCUCCCCGCGGAAAGACGGAAAGACCCCAUGAACCUUUACUGUAGCUUUGUAUUGGACUUUGAACAGAUCUGUGUAGGAUAGGUGGGAGGCUUUGAAGCAGGGUCGCUAGAUCUUGUGGAGCCAACGUUGAAAUACCACCCUGGUGUGUUUGAGGUUCUAACCUAGGUCCAUUAUCUGGAUCGGGGACAGUGCAUGGUAGGCAGUUUGACUGGGGCGGUCUCCUCCCAAAGUGUAACGGAGGAGUUCGAAGGUACGCUAGUUACGGUCGGACAUCGUGACGAUAGUGCAAUGGCAUAAGCGUGCUUAACUGCGAGACUGACAAGUCGAGCAGAUGCGAAAGCAGGACAUAGUGAUCCGGUGGUUCUGUAUGGAAGGGCCAUCGCUCAACGGAUAAAAGGUACUCUGGGGAUAACAGGCUGAUACCGCCCAAGAGUUCAUAUCGACGGCGGUGUUUGGCACCUCGAUGUCGGCUCAUCUCAUCCUGGGGCUGUAGCCGGUCCCAAGGGUAUGGCUGUUCGCCAUUUAAAGAGGUACGUGAGCUGGGUUUAAAACGUCGUGAGACAGUUUGGUCCCUAUCUUCCGUGGGCGCUGCAGAUUUGAGGAAGCCUGCUCCUAGUACGAGAGGACCGGAGUGGACACACCUCUGGUGUAUCGGUUGUCACGCCAGUGGCAUUGCCGAGUAGCUAAGUGUGGAAGAGAUAACCGCUGAAAGCAUCUAAGCGGGAAACUCGUUUCAAGAUGAGAUCUGCCGGGGCCUUGAGCCCCCUAAAGAGUCGUUCAAGACCAGGACGUUGAUAGGUCAGGUGUGGAAGC
This 1247-nucleotide ribosomal RNA is filed under the name metagenome. RNAcentral's name for it is "bacterial LSU rRNA". It matches the Rfam family "Bacterial large subunit ribosomal RNA", at positions 1635 to 2874 of the family's 2925-position model. The record is from RNAcentral.